RNAcentral lists this ribosomal RNA (403 nucleotides) under Fusobacteriota bacterium. Its description in RNAcentral is "Fusobacteria bacterium partial 16S ribosomal RNA". It matches the Rfam family "Bacterial small subunit ribosomal RNA", at positions 355 to 776 of the family's 1533-position model. The record is from RNAcentral. Lineage: Bacteria; Fusobacteriati; Fusobacteriota.
UGGGGAAUUUUGCACAAUGGAGGAAACUCUGAUGCAGCGACGCCGCGUGAGUGAUGAAGAUCUUCGGAUUGUAAAACUCUGUCCUUAGUGAAGAUAAUGACAGUAACUAAGAAGCAAGCCCUGGCUAAAUACGUGCCAGCAGCCGCGGUAAUACGUAUGGGGCAAGCGUUGUCCGGAAUUAUUGGGCGUAAAGGGUACGUAGGCGGUUUAAUAAGUCCUAAUUAAAAGGCUAUGGCUCAACCAUAGUAUGGUUAGGAAACUGUUGAACUUGAGUAGAUGAGGGGAAAGUGGAAUUCCAUGUGUAGCGGUGAAAUGCGUUGAUAUAUGGAGGAACACCAAUGGCGAAGGCAACUUUCUGGAAUCAAACUGACGCUGAGGUACGAAGGCGUGGGGAGCAAACAGG